GCCAUAUGGAUACAGAGGACAAUAAAACCUAUAUAAUUCCCCUUUCCUGCUUCAGUCUCCUGUCCAGUAAGUAUUGCUGCAAUUACGGCGAAAAAGGCUGUCUCAAACUGAUAAGAGUUCGCGAUGAAGAUUCUGAUCGUCCUCGCGGUCGUCUUGGUGGCUGUCUCGGCAUCCUCGUCAAUAUCUGCAGCUGAGAGGUACCGAAGAGGAUUGAUCACGCAAUCGCGAGAAAAGAAGAGCAUUUUCAAAGGAAUCUUUCCAGGCACGAAAUGGUGUGGUGCUGGCGAUAUCGCUGAAAAUUACUCGGACGUAGCGACAGGAGCUGGAGCCAAAGCUGAUCUUUGUUGCCGUGCACACGAUCAUUGCCCAAAAUAUAUCCCUGCCUGGGGUUACAAAUACGGUAUCUGGAACUGGAGAUUGUACACGAUGUCUCUUUGCGACUGUGAUAACGCGUUUCGUACCUGCCUUCACGGAAACCACGACCCUCUCGUCUCUGACGUAAUUGGUCAUACUUUCUUCGACGUUCUGGGGACGUCCUGUUUCACUUUAAGCGGGAAUAUAGAGUCCAAGAGAUACAACUCGUAACUGCACGCGAAUGUCAUGUGAUUUUCUGUCAGACGAAGCAUUACAAAUUGAAUAAAUAUUGAGAAAUUUCA
Molecule: long non-coding RNA, 656 nt
Organism: Lineus longissimus
Lineage: Eukaryota; Metazoa; Nemertea; Pilidiophora; Heteronemertea; Lineidae
Exons: 4
Source: RefSeq, a predicted model, not a curated record